AUGUGUCCUCGCCACCCUCUUUGGUGCACGGGGGAUUGGUGCUGGCAUUGCCAUGGGCAAGGGUGGCCAUGGGGCUGGCACUGGCCAGGGAACCUUUGUGCCUUGGAGCAGGGGGCUCGGAGGGCAGGGGGGUGUCUGCCAGUUCUGGGCUCCCUGGCUCAUCUUGAUGCAGCGGGGACAGUGGUGUCAGACCGCACAGUGAUGUCCCCGUCCCCAACAGCCGCCCCCAUGGUCCUGCUGGUGCCCCUUGCAGGAUCAGGGUGUCCUUCCCAGCCCGGCAGCGUCACUGCCUGCACCCUGCCUUCAGGCUGCCACUUCCUGAGGGGGGAGACAGCCAGGCCAGCCUCCCCAGUGCUGGGGGUGCAGGAUUUGGCCUUUCUCCCUUUAGGAAGUGGUGGCAUCGCCCAGAGAUGCUGGGCUGUCACCGCGUGCUUUCCCAGUGACGUCUGUUUGCCCUUGGCUGGCACUCGGAGCAGUGGGACCCGCCUGCAUCUGCCUGUCCCACUGGCACAUCACCGUGGCCUCAUGGCUGCCACCUCGGGUGCAACUGUCCACCAUGCAGGAAGUUGGUGUUCCCGUGUCCUCCAGCCAGUCCUGCUGCCAACACACCCACUCCGUGCCCCCAGCCUGCUGCGGGGACCUUGGGGCUGCCCCCCUGGGGCUCCCACUGUCUCCCCACGCUGCGGCCGUACCCUGACCCGCGCCGGCUCCCCUCCAGACGCAAUACCAACCAUCCCCUUCCUGCAGGACAUGGGGAGCCCCAAAACCCUCCCUGCUCUUUUGAGCGGGGAGGGUCUUGCCUGCACAGGGUACCCCCAACUACCUCAGGCCUCCAGGCUGGGUUGGGGCUGGCGGGGGGAGAGGGGAUUGGGGUGGCAGUGGGGGCUGGGGGAUGGCAGCGGCACCACUUGGCCACUACUACUUUUUGUAUCUCGGCCGGGUGCUGGCAGGGAGAAAUGUUCCUCACGCAGUCCCUGGCACUGGCAGCUGCUGACAGGGCUGGCGGGGGUGCCCCUCUACUGCAGGUUGGGUUGA
This 1035-nucleotide long non-coding RNA is filed under the name Calidris pygmaea (Spoon-billed sandpiper). Its description in RNAcentral is "lncRNA (ENSCPGG00000005937.1)". Lineage: Eukaryota; Metazoa; Chordata; Aves; Charadriiformes; Scolopacidae. The record is from RNAcentral.